RNAcentral lists this ribosomal RNA (1093 nucleotides) under Arthrobacter sp. Its description in RNAcentral is "bacterial SSU rRNA". It matches the Rfam family "Bacterial small subunit ribosomal RNA", at positions 280 to 1380 of the family's 1533-position model. Lineage: Bacteria; Bacillati; Actinomycetota; Actinomycetes; Micrococcales; Micrococcaceae. The record is from RNAcentral.
CGGGUAGCCCGCCCUGAGAGGGUGACCCGGCCACCCUGGGACUGAGACCCGGCCCAGAUUCCUACGGGAGGCAGCAGUGGGGAAUAUUGCACAAUGGGCGCAAGCCUGAUGCAGCGACGCCGCGUGAGGGAUGACGGCCUUCGGGUUGUAAACCUCUUUCAGUAGGGAAGAAGCGAAAGUGACGGUACCUGCAGAAGAAGCGCCGGCUAACUACGUGCCAGCAGCCGCGGUAAUACGUAGGGCGCAAGCGUUAUCCGGAAUUAUUGGGCGUAAAGAGCUCGUAGGCGGUUUGUCGCGUCUGCCGUGAAAGUCCGGGGCUCAACUCCGGAUCUGCGGUGGGUACGGGCAGACUAGAGUGAUGUAGGGGAGACUGGAAUUCCUGGUGUAGCGGUGAAAUGCGCAGAUAUCAGGAGGAACACCGAUGGCGAAGGCAGGUCUCUGGGCAUUAACUGACGCUGAGGAGCGAAAGCAUGGGGAGCGAACAGGAUUAGAUACCCUGGUAGUCCAUGCCGUAAACGUUGGGCACUAGGUGUGGGGGACAUUCCACGUUUUCCGCGCCGUAGCUAACGCAUUAAGUGCCCCGCCUGGGGAGUACGGCCGCAAGGCUAAAACUCAAAGGAAUUGACGGGGGCCCGCACAAGCGGCGGAGCAUGCGGAUUAAUUCGAUGCAACGCGAAGAACCUUACCAAGGCUUGACAUGGACCAGACCGGACUGGAGACAGUUCUUCCCCUUUGGGGUUGGUUCACAGGUGGUGCAUGGUUGUCGUCAGCUCGUGUCGUGAGAUGUUGGGUUAAGUCCCGCAACGAGCGCAACCCUCGUUCUAUGUUGCCAGCACGUGAUGGUGGGGACUCAUAGGAGACUGCCGGGGUCAACUCGGAGGAAGGUGGGGACGACGUCAAAUCAUCAUGCCCCUUAUGUCUUGGGCUUCACGCAUGCUACAAUGGCCGGUACAAAGGGUUGCGAUACUGUGAGGUGGAGCUAAUCCCAAAAAGCCGGUCUCAGUUCGGAUUGGGGUCUGCAACUCGACCCCAUGAAGUCGGAGUCGCUAGUAAUCGCAGAUCAGCAACGCUGCGGUGAAUACGUUCCCGGGCU